UCUCUCUCUCUAAAAUUCAACCUUCUUCAUCUCCCUCUCACCAUUUUCUCUCUCCGAAAAAAACAGUCACUGAAGCUUAAAAAAAUGUCGAUGAAGCUUCAAUUCACUCGAUUAUUCGCUGAUUUUAGAUUGAAGAUGAAGGAAGUAGAAAAAUACAAAAAAUAAGCCGAAAAAAACCUACGAAGGAAUAAGGAAACCGAAGCUCACCUCGAUAAAGAAAUUGAUCUCAUCAAAGGGGGACAAGGCCUGCUGAUGUGCAACAUAAUGUGGAACCAAUUGUUGAGCACGAUAUUAAGGAAGUGGACCAGAAACAUUGAAAACCAAGGAAACAUGUUGAAAAGAUGAAAGAGAGGACAAAAAGUAUUGUUAGAGAUGUCAAGAAGCACAAGACUAUAGUUGAGGUGCGUUCAGGGCCACAAGACUGUGUAGAAGUGGAUAAAAAAUCAAGACUGCUGGAGAAAGCUAGACUCUUGAGUAUUGUACAUGUUACUUGCAUGUGUUUGUGCGCUCUUUCAUGUGUACUUGUGUAAAUUCAGAACAUUAAGUUCGAGAAUGCAAAACAUUUAGCUUAGGAAUGCAGAACAUUUAGUUUGGAACUCAAAACAUCUAGUUUUAGAAUUCAGAACAUUUAGUUUGGGAAUUCAGAACAUCUACUUUGU
Long non-coding RNA from Spinacia oleracea (spinach), 659 nucleotides. RefSeq lists it as uncharacterized. The record is from RefSeq and is a predicted model, not a curated record. NCBI's taxonomy places the organism in Eukaryota, Viridiplantae, Streptophyta, Magnoliopsida, Caryophyllales, Amaranthaceae. The transcript has 3 exons.